Long non-coding RNA from Daphnia pulex (common water flea), 580 nucleotides. RefSeq lists it as uncharacterized. The record is from RefSeq and is a predicted model, not a curated record. NCBI's taxonomy places the organism in Eukaryota, Metazoa, Arthropoda, Branchiopoda, Diplostraca, Daphniidae. The transcript has 3 exons.
AGAGAAAGACGUUUCAUCCGUCCAGGGGCAGCCGGAGUCGAUGGCUCGAUGGAAUGCAGACUGGAACGGUAUGCCAACAGUUCUUCUUCUUCUUCUUCUUUUUCUAGUGUCUGGUGUAUAUAGUGUAUACAUAUUCUCGUCUUGUAUAUACACACACACAGCGUACUGUUCUCUCUUUGCACACAAGAUGCGCAUACACAAGGAGCCGGACUGACUGCUGUCUGCGUUACAACAAAAGAAGAGCGGCCCGGUCCAUAGUGUGUGUGUACACACAGUGUUCUCCAAAACGAUACCAACAGAACUCUGGCCGUUCGCUUUCCAUCCCCUGUGAAGACAUUGGUGAUGAUGGGGGUGGCAACUGGCGGCCUCCGCUAGAUUGAGGCUAUCCACACUCGACUAGAAAUGAAGAAUCAAAUCAGAUCCAACAGUUUCUUCUUAGAAAUGGAUGAAACAUUCCGCAGAAUAGAAAUGCAGCGGUGCACAAGCAACAACAACCCGUUUAACGCGUCAGCGGCAAGUGAUGUGUGUUACAUUGGCCAAUGCAGGACAAGUUUCGAUAUUUCCAAUCGACUGCAGUAUA